RNAcentral lists this ribosomal RNA (420 nucleotides) under uncultured bacterium. Its description in RNAcentral is "bacterial SSU rRNA". It matches the Rfam family "Bacterial small subunit ribosomal RNA", at positions 355 to 774 of the family's 1533-position model. The record is from RNAcentral.
UAAGGAAUAUUGCUCAAAGGGAGAAAUCCUGAAGCAGCAACGCCGCGUGGAGGAUGAAGGGUCUAUGACUUGUAAACUCCUGUAAAGAAGGAAAAAAUUCCCAUUAGAUGGGAGAUGAUGGUACUUCUGGAGUAAGCCCCGGCUAACUACGUGCCAGCAGCCGCGGUAAUACGUAGGGGGCAAGCGUUGUCCGGAUUUACUGGGUGUAAAGGGUGCUCAGGCGGAUUUGUAAGUCAGAGGUGAAAUCUUACAGCUUAACUGUGAAACUGCCUUUGAUACUGCAAGCCUAGAGUAUGGAAGAGAGUGAUGGAAUAUCUGGUGUAGCAGUGAAAUGCGUAGAUAUCAGAUAGAACACCAAUGGCGAAGGCAGUCACUUGGUCCAUUACUGACGCUAAAGCACGAAAGCGUGGGUAGCAAACA